This 425-nucleotide ribosomal RNA is filed under the name uncultured bacterium. Its description in RNAcentral is "partial 16S ribosomal RNA". It matches the Rfam family "Bacterial small subunit ribosomal RNA", at positions 354 to 796 of the family's 1533-position model. The record is from RNAcentral.
GUGAGGAAUAUUGCACAAUGGAGGAAACUCUGAUGCAGCAACGCCGCGUGGAGGAUGACGCAUUUCGGUGUGUAAACUCCUUUUAAGAGGGAAGAUUAUGACGGUACCUCUUGAAUAAGCACCGGCUAACUUCGUGCCAGCAGCCGCGGUAAUACGGAGGGUGCAAGCGUUACUCGGAAUCACUGGGCGUAAAGGGUGCGUAGGCUGACUUUUAAGUCAGGCGUGAAAUCCAAUGGCUUAACCAUUGAACUGCGCUUGAAACUGGGAGUCUAGAGUUCAGAAGGGGCAGAUGGAAUUAGUGGUGUAGGGGUAAAAUCCGUAGAUAUCACUAGGAAUAUCAAAAGCGAAGGCGAUCUGCUGGGAUGAUACUGACGCUGAGGCACGAAAGCGUGGGGAGCAAACAGGAUUAGAAACCCGGGUAGUCC